GCAAAGGAACUACGUAGCAGAGA
RNAcentral lists this non-coding RNA (23 nucleotides) under Cricetulus griseus (Chinese hamster). Lineage: Eukaryota; Metazoa; Chordata; Mammalia; Rodentia; Cricetidae. The record is from RNAcentral.